Molecule: ribosomal RNA, 253 nt
Filed under: uncultured bacterium
Lineage: Bacteria
Description: partial 16S ribosomal RNA
Rfam family: Bacterial small subunit ribosomal RNA
Source: RNAcentral
UACGAAGGGCGCGAGCGUUGCUCGGAUUUAUUGGGCGUAAAGCGAGCGCAGGCGGAUAUUUAAGUCAGAAGUGAAAUCCCAGAGCUCAACCCUGGAACUGCCUUUGAUACUGGUUAUCUUGAGUGUGAUAGAGGUGAGUGGAAUUCCAUGUGUAGAGGUGAAAUUCGUAGAUAUAUGGAAGAACACCGGUGGCGAAGGCGGCUAUCUGGACCAUUACUGACGCUGAGGUUCGAAAGCGUGGGGAGCAAACAGG